AUGGUUAAGUUAGAAAGGGCGCACGGUGGAUGCCUUGGCACUAGGAGCCGAUGAAGGACGGGACGAACACCGAUAUGCUUCGGGGAGCUGUAAGCAAGCUUUGAUCCGGAGAUUUCCGAAUGGGGAAACCCACUGCUCGUAAUGGAGUAGUAUCCAUACUUGAAUACAUAGAGUAUGAGAAGGCAUACCCGGGGAACUGAAACAUCUAAGUACCCGGAGGAAGAGAAAGCAAAUGCGAUUCCCUGAGUAGCGGCGAGCGAAACGGGAACAGCCCAAACCAAGAGGCUUGCCUCUUGGGGUUGUAGGACACUCUAUACGGAGUUACAAAGGAACCUGAGUACGGCGGAACACGUGAAAUUCCGUCGGAAUCCGGGAGGACCAUCUCCCAAGGCUAAAUACUCCCUAGUGACCGAUAGUGAACCAGUACCGUGAGGGAAAGGUGAAAAGCACCCCGGAAGGGGAGUGAAAUAGAUCCUGAAACCGUGUGCCUACAAGUAGUCAGAGCCCGUUAACGGGUGAUGGCGUGCCUUUUGUAGAAUGAACCGGCGAGUUACGAUCCCGUGCAAGGUUAAGCAGAAGAUGCGGAGCCGCAGCGAAAGCGAGUCUGAAUAGGGCGCAUGAGUACGUGGUCGUAGACCCGAAACCAGGUGAUCUACCCAUGUCCAGGGUGAAGUUCAGGUAACACUGAAUGGAGGCCCGAACCCACGCACGUUGAAAAGUGCGGGGAUGAGGUGUGGGUAGGGGUGAAAUGCCAAUCGAACCUGGAGAUAGCUGGUUCUCUCCGAAAUAGCUUUAGGGCUAGCCUCAAGGUAAGAGUCUCGGAGGUAGAGCACUGAUUGGACUAGGGGCCCCUACCGGGUUACCGAAUUCAGUCAAACUCCGAAUGCCGAUGACUUAUCCUUGGGAGUCAGACUGCGAGUGAUAAGAUCCGUAGUCGAAAGGGAAACAGCCCAGACCGCCAGCUAAGGUCCCAAAGUAUACGUUAAGUGGAAAAGGAUGUGGAGUUGCUUAGACAACCAGGAUGUUGGCUUAGAAGCAGCCACCAUUUAAAGAGUGCGUAAUAGCUCACUGGUCGAGUGACUCUGCGCCGAAAAUGUACCGGGGCUAAACGUAUCACCGAAGCUGCGGACUGUUCUUACGAACAGUGGUAGGAGAGCGUUCUAAGGGCUGUGAAGCCAGACCGGAAGGACUGGUGGAGCGCUUAGAAGUGAGAAUGCCGGUAUGAGUAGCGAAAGACGGGUGAGAAUCCCGUCCACCGAAUGCCUAAGGUUUCCUGAGGAAGGCUCGUCCGCUCAGGGUUAGUCGGGACCUAAGCCGAGGCCGAAAGGCGUAGGCGAUGGACAACAGGUUGAUAUUCCUGUACCACCUCCUCACCAUUUGAGCAAUGGGGGGACGCAGGAGGAUAGGGUAAGCGCGGUAUUGGAUAUCCGCGUCCAAGCAGUUAGGCUGGGAAAUAGGCAAAUCCGUUUCCCAAGAAAAGCCUCUAGCGAGGUGAGAGGUGCCCGUACCGCAAACCGACACAGGUAGGCGAGGAGAGAAUCCUAAGGUGAUCGAGAGAACUCUCGUUAAGGAACUCGGCAAAAUGACCCCGUAACUUCGGGAGAAGGGGUGCUUCUUAGGGUGUUAAAGCCCCGAGAAGCCGCAGUGAAUAGGCCCAGGCGACUGUUUAGCAAAAACACAGGUCUCUGCGAAGCCGUAAGGCGAAGUAUAGGGGCUGACGCCUGCCCGGUGCUGGAAGGUUAAGAGGAGCGCUUAGCGUAAGCGAAGGUGCGAAUUGAAGCCCCAGUAAACGGCGGCCGUAACUAUAACGGUCCUAAGGUAGCGAAAUUCCUUGUCGGGUAAGUUCCGACCCGCACGAAAGGCGCAACGAUCUGGGCACUGUCUCAACGAGAGACUCGGUGAAAUUAUAGUACCUGUGAAGAUGCAGGUUACCCGCGACAGGACGGAAAGACCCCGUGGAGCUUUACUGCAGCCUGAUAUUGAAUGUUGGUACAGCUUGUACAGGAUAGGUAGGAGCCUUGGAAACCGGAGCGCUAGCUUCGGUGGAGGCAUCGGUGGGAUACUACCCUGGCUGUAUUGACCUUCUAACCCGCUGCCCUUAUCGGGCAGGGAGACAGUGUCAGGUGGGCAGUUUGACUGGGGCGGUCGCCUCCUAAAAUGUAACGGAGGCGCCCAAAGGUUCCCUCAGAAUGGUUGGAAAUCAUUCGCAGAGUGUAAAGGCACAAGGGAGCUUGACUGCGAGACCUACAAGUCGAGCAGGGACGAAAGUCGGGCUUAGUGAUCCGGUGGUUCCGCAUGGAAGGGCCAUCGCUCAACGGAUAAAAGCUACCCCGGGGAUAACAGGCUUAUCUCCCCCAAGAGUCCACAUCGACGGGGAGGUUUGGCACCUCGAUGUCGGCUCAUCGCAUCCUGGGGCUGUAGUCGGUCCCAAGGGUUGGGCUGUUCGCCCAUUAAAGCGGUACGCGAGCUGGGUUCAGAACGUCGUGAGACAGUUCGGUCCCUAUCCGUCGCGGGCGCAGGAAAUUUGAGAGGAGCUGUCCUUAGUACGAGAGGACCGGGAUGGACGCACCGCUGGUGUACCAGUUGUUCUGCCAAGGGCAUCGCUGGGUAGCUAUGUGCGGACGGGAUAAGUGCUGAAAGCAUCUAAGCAUGAAGCCCCCCUCAAGAUGAGAUUUCCCAUUCCGCAAGGAAGUAAGAUCCCUGAAAGAUGAUCAGGUUGAUAGGUCUGAGGUGGAAGCGUGGUGACACGUGGAGCUGACAGAUACUAAUAGAUCGAGGACUUAACCUAUA
This 2790-nucleotide ribosomal RNA is filed under the name Bacillus sp. P003. Its description in RNAcentral is "23S ribosomal RNA". It matches the Rfam family "Bacterial large subunit ribosomal RNA". The record is from RNAcentral. Lineage: Bacteria; Bacillati; Bacillota; Bacilli; Caryophanales; Bacillaceae.